Long non-coding RNA from Equus quagga, 920 nucleotides. RefSeq lists it as uncharacterized. The transcript has 3 exons. The record is from RefSeq and is a predicted model, not a curated record. Lineage: Eukaryota; Metazoa; Chordata; Mammalia; Perissodactyla; Equidae.
CGGCCCUUAGAGGAAGAAGCAAGAGCAGAGGAACAGACCCGCACUGCGGGAGCAGCCAGGGAUCUCAUGGGAACCGCAUGGCUGACUUUUGUUUUUAAGGGAGAGAUGAUCUUCCCAGUCUGAGCUAAUUGGGAAGGCCAGCAGCCAGUCCAAGGCCUUUCCGAGAAGGGAAAAAAUACGCAUUCGCUCAGUCUGAGAUUUUGAUUUGUGGCCAUAAGUUGUGCAGCUUCUGAGAUGAGAAGACGGGGAAAGAGUGUGAACCUCUCCUUUAAAUAAAAGAAAGUGAGCCAAAAGCUGCAAGCCUCAGGACCUGUUCACCUCAAAAAAGCCAGACUGCUGACUCAGGGGUGCUGAGAAAACAAUCCCUGAGCUGAUGACUGUAUCCACUUAGAAAAAUAAAAAUUAGUGAAUAUUUAUACGUUGAUUUCCAAAAAAAUAGAUCAAUCUGUGUAUCUUUAGUAUUUCACCAUAAAAUUAUGCUUUUGUCUGAAUGCAGGUUCCAAAUAAAUAUAUCAAAUAAAAAUCUCCAUUACUACCAUUCCUCAUGCAGAUGGUUAAUCUAAGCAGUCAGGUGAGGAGGAGAUGGGGACAAUUGUGACAGACAGACUUUUAAAAAUAAAUUACAAACCACAGCCCCACCAGGUGAAACUUGGAAGACUGAUGGCUGGUCAGCUCACUUGGAUGUUAAUAAAAGACUAUACCCCACAUUUGGAGAUAUUAUUAGAUCCUAUGUAUAAAUUAUUAAGAAAAUGUCUUUGUGACUCAUCUCUGUGGUGAUCCUACAGUUACCACAGAAUACAAAAUUGGAUUUGUAUGAUAAUUUGGUCCAUACAUAACCUUAGAUAUUAACACAACAUUUCUAUGGUUCUAAGUUUCUAAUUUCUGGGUUUUUUCUUAAUGCGAAAAUAAAAACAUCUGAA